Molecule: long non-coding RNA, 306 nt
Filed under: Cavia porcellus (domestic guinea pig)
Lineage: Eukaryota; Metazoa; Chordata; Mammalia; Rodentia; Caviidae
Description: lncRNA (ENSCPOG00000035780.1)
Source: RNAcentral
AGCGCAAUGUCUUGCAUCCAGGUGCAACCAUCACGGGCACUAGAGUGAGCUGAAGGGUGCGCCCUGUGCUCCUGAGUUUGAGAAGAGAUCUAUGGAUUGCAUGGCCUCUCCAGCCCCGGAGACUGGGCCCAGAUACGUGUUUCAGAGGGUCCGUCAUGGGGAGUGGGAAGAGCCUACCUGCAAAUCAGCCGGUGCUUGGACUGGAAACCAAGAGAGCAUUCACCCCACCUCCACUGCCCAGACUGGUACCAGCUUCCCACAAUAAAUGGAAUCAUUAUGUGCUGCUGACACGUACUAAGAAACAAG